RNAcentral lists this transfer RNA (90 nucleotides) under Felis catus (domestic cat). It matches the Rfam family "tRNA". Rfam says of the family: Transfer RNA (tRNA) molecules are approximately 80 nucleotides in length. Their secondary structure includes four short double-helical elements and three loops (D, anti-codon, and T loops). The record is from Rfam by way of RNAcentral. Lineage: Eukaryota; Metazoa; Chordata; Mammalia; Carnivora; Felidae.
GCCUGGGUGGCUCAGUUGGUUGAGCCUCAGACUCUUGAUUUUGGCUCAGAUCAUGAUCCCAGGUCGUGGGAUCAAGCCCCACAUCAGGCU